Long non-coding RNA from Olea europaea var. sylvestris, 487 nucleotides. RefSeq lists it as uncharacterized. The record is from RefSeq and is a predicted model, not a curated record. Lineage: Eukaryota; Viridiplantae; Streptophyta; Magnoliopsida; Lamiales; Oleaceae. The transcript has 2 exons.
UCCCGUCUUUUAAUGCUACAAAGUACAAACCUACUUAGAAACCCUAGCGACUUCACUACCAAAUCCCAAUUCCCAGAGCCUCCGCAUUCCUUCAAACUCCGUUUACUCAUUCGUCUGCGAAAAGUGCGAGAUGUCGUCGAAGGUUAUAGUGCCAGUCAAAUAGAAACGGUCGUACAACUUCACUGAUGGCAGCGAUAAGAAGAUCAACAAGAACAAGCUCCUCUAUUUAACUCGAGCUAUAUUCUGUACAAAAAAUCUCCAUCUCCUCAUACACCCAUGAUUCAAGCCGCGGUAUAGUCGGAUGGGCUUCGAAGGCAUUUUCUACGGCUGUAUUUUUGCUGUAUGAGCAUGUUGCGGAACGUUUGAAACCUCAACUUUUCAAUUAUCUUUCGGUUUCUCUAUUUCUAUUGCUGACAUUGCCCGUAUACUCGUUCCUGUGCUUUCACUUUAAUUCCUAGCUUCUAAGGAAACUUGGUUUGUUAGUACU